UCAGUUUUUUAAUCUGAAAGUUUAUCAGAAACCUGCAUUCUAGAGCAAGUGUCAGAGUCCUUUCCAUGAAUCUCUCUCAAGACGAAACAUAUUUGCAAAGACAUCAGAGUAUAGGGCCGGCCCCAUGGCUUAG
Molecule: non-coding RNA, 133 nt
Organism: Ceratotherium simum simum (southern white rhinoceros)
Lineage: Eukaryota; Metazoa; Chordata; Mammalia; Perissodactyla; Rhinocerotidae
Source: RefSeq, a predicted model, not a curated record